This 1770-nucleotide long non-coding RNA is filed under the name Homo sapiens (human). RNAcentral describes it as "long non-coding RNA NONHSAT186069.1". The record is from RNAcentral. Lineage: Eukaryota; Metazoa; Chordata; Mammalia; Primates; Hominidae.
CAGCGAUAAGGGCAGUCGACAGUCUUUAGUAGGGAAAGGAGACAAGUGCUAGCUACUGCCGCCCAAGUGGAAGGUGGGAUUGUUCCUCCAGCAGCUCAACAGCUUCACAGAGAAAAUAUUCAACGAAUAGUACAAGAAGCUCUUUCUGCCAGUGGAGUCUCUCCAAGUGACCUCUCAGCAAUUGCAACUACCAUAAAACCAGGACUUGCUUUAAGCCUGGGAGUGGGCUUAUCAUUUAGCUUACAGCUGGUAGGACAGUUAAAAAAGCCAUUCAUUCCCAUUCAUCAUAUGGAGGCUCAUGCACUUACUAUUAGGUUGACCAAUAAAGUAGAAUUUCCUUUUUUAGUUCUUUUGAUUUCUGGAGGUCACUGUCUGUUGGCAUUAGUUCAAGGAGUUUCAGAUUUUCUGCUUCUUGGAAAGUCUUUGGACAUAGCACCAGGUGACAUGCUUGACAAGGUGGCAAGAAGACUUUCUUUAAUAAAACAUCCAGAGUGCUCCACCAUGAGUGGUGGGAAAGCCAUAGAACAUUUGGCCAAACAAGGAAAUAGAUUUCAUUUUGACAUCAAACCUCCCUUGCAUCAUGCUAAAAAUUGUGAUUUUUCUUUUACUGGACUUCAACACGUUACUGAUAAAAUAAUAAUGAAAAAGGAAAAAGAGGAAGGUAUUGAGAAGGGGCAAAUCCUGUCUUCAGCAGCAGACAUUGCUGCCACAGUACAGCACACAAUGGCAUGUCAUCUUGUGAAAAGAACACAUCGGGCUAUUCUGUUUUGUAAGCAGAGAGACUUGUUACCUCAAAAUAAUGCAGUACUGGUUGCAUCUGGUGGUGUCGCAAGUAACUUCUAUAUCCGCAGAGCUCUGGAAAUUUUAACAAAUGCAACACAGUGCACUUUGUUGUGUCCUCCUCCCAGACUAUGCACUGAUAAUGGCAUUAUGAUUGCAUGGAAUGGUAUUGAAAGACUACGUGCUGGCUUGGGCAUUUUACAUGACAUAGAAGGCAUCCGCUAUGAACCAAAAUGUCCUCUUGGAGUAGACAUAUCAAAAGAAGUUGGAGAAGCUUCCAUAAAAGUACCACAAUUAAAAAUGGAGAUAUGAUUUCUGCUGUUCAAAAAAGUCCCUAAAGACAGGGUCUCACUCUCUGACCUCAGCUGGAGUACAGUAGCCAGAUCACAACUCACUGCAACCCUGACUUCCUGAACUCAAGCAAUCCUCCUGCCUUAGCCUCUUGAAUAGCCGGGACUACAGGUGUGCAUGUCCAUGCCCAGCCAACUUUAUUUCUAUUUUUUGUAGAGACAGGCUCUUGCCAUGUUGCCCGGGCUGGUCCUGAACUGCUGAAUUCAAGUGAUCCUCCCACCUUGGCCUCCAGAAGUGCUGGGAUUAUGGGUGUGAGCCACCAUGCCUAGCCAAAAUGUUUCUUAAGGUAUACAUUUUGGGUCUUAGAAGACUUAUACAUUUGUAAUAUUUAUUACUAAAUAUCUCAAAGUAUUACAAUAAAUGUUACCAUGUGAGCUACUUUGAAUCAGGCUUCUUGCACACCAAUUUAAAAAUGUUAACUCUUGAUAUAUACACUAGUUAUACCACUCAUGUCAGUCAAUAAAUUUUAAGGUUUAAGUGCAGGCCUUUGUUUACAGAAAUCCUAAUUUUUUGAAACCAUAACUCUGACCUGACACUAAAUUCCUGUAGACAUGCUAAGGAAAAUCUGCUUAGUAUCGAGAUCAAGAACUUUCAUUCAAAAAGAUUAUUCAGUUAUGUUAUUUGCAUAUUACCAUUAUU